UACGUAGGGGGCAAGCGUUGUCCGGAUUUAUUGGGCGUAAAGCGCGUGUAGGCGGCCAUGUAGGUCUGACGUGAAAUUCCGAGGCUCAACCUCGGCAGGUCGUUGGAAACCAUAUGGCUAGAGUCCGGGAGAGGAGAGUGGAACUCCUGGUGUAGCGGUGAAAUGCGCAGAUAUCAGGAAGAACACCCGUGGCGAAAGCGGCUCUCUGGGACGGUACUGACGCUGAGACGCGAAAGCGUGGGGAGCGAACAGG
RNAcentral lists this ribosomal RNA (253 nucleotides) under uncultured bacterium. Its description in RNAcentral is "partial 16S ribosomal RNA". It matches the Rfam family "Bacterial small subunit ribosomal RNA", at positions 524 to 776 of the family's 1533-position model. The record is from RNAcentral.